UUGCUGAAAAAAAGGAAAACAACGACCAGUUACUCACCAGGACCACCUCUUUUGCCAGCUCAUCCUCCCUUGAGCUGGCACUUUA
RNAcentral lists this small RNA (85 nucleotides) under Sodalis praecaptivus. RNAcentral's name for it is "CyaR/Rye RNA". It matches the Rfam family "CyaR/Rye RNA". Rfam says of the family: This sRNA was originally identified in a large scale screen of E. coli. The record is from Rfam by way of RNAcentral. Lineage: Bacteria; Pseudomonadati; Pseudomonadota; Gammaproteobacteria; Enterobacterales; Bruguierivoracaceae.